GAUCCAUGGCUCAGAUUGAACGCUGGCGGCAGGCCUAACACAUGCAAGUCGAGCGGUAGAGAGAAGCUUGCUUCUCUUGAGAGCGGCGGACGGGUGAGUAAUGCCUAGGAAUCUGCCUGGAAGUGGGGGAUAACGUUCGGAAACGGACGCUAAUACCGCAUACGUCCUACGGGAGAAAGCAGGGGACCUUCGGGCCUUGCGCUAUCAGAUGAGCCUAGGUCGGAUUAGCUAGUUGGUGGGGUAAUGGCUCACCAAGGCGACGAUCCGUAACUGGUCUGAGAGGAUGAUCAGUCACACUGGAACUGAGACACGGUCCAGACUCCUACGGGAGGCAGCAGUGGGGAAUAUUGGACAAUGGGCGAAAGCCUGAUCCAGCCAUGCCGCGUGUGUGAAGAAGGUCUUCGGAUUGUAAAGCACUUUAAGUUGGGAGGAAGGGCAGUAAAUUAAUACUUUGCUGUUUUGACGUUACCGACAGAAUAAGC
RNAcentral lists this ribosomal RNA (482 nucleotides) under Pseudomonas sp. BF.84. RNAcentral describes it as "bacterial SSU rRNA". It matches the Rfam family "Bacterial small subunit ribosomal RNA", at positions 15 to 491 of the family's 1533-position model. The record is from RNAcentral. Lineage: Bacteria; Pseudomonadati; Pseudomonadota; Gammaproteobacteria; Pseudomonadales; Pseudomonadaceae.